Molecule: ribosomal RNA, 492 nt
Filed under: uncultured bacterium
Lineage: Bacteria
Description: partial 16S ribosomal RNA
Rfam family: Bacterial small subunit ribosomal RNA
Source: RNAcentral
AGUGAACGCUGGCGGUAGGCCUAACACAUGCAAGUCGAACGGCAGCACAGUAAGAGCUUGCUCUUACGGGUGGCGAGUGGCGGACGGGUGAGGAAUACAUCGGAAUCUACUUUUUCGUGGGGGAUAACGUAGGGAAACUUACGCUAAUACCGCAUACGACCUACGGGUGAAAGCAGGGGAUCUUCGGACCUUUCGCGAUUGAAUGAGCCGAUGUCGGAUUAGCUAGUUGGCGGGGUAAAGGCCCACCAAGGCGACGAUCCGUAGCUGGUCUGAGAGGAUGAUCAGACACACUGGAACUGAGACACGGUCCAGACUCCUACGGGAGGCAGCAGUGGGGAAUAUUGGACAAUGGGCGCAAGCCUGAUCCAGCCAUACCGCGUGGGUGAAGAAGGCCUUCGGGUUGUAAAGCCCUUUUGUUGGGAAAGAAAAGCAGCAGGUUAAUACCCCGCUGUUCUGACGGUACCCAAAGAAUAAGCACCGGCUAACUUCGUG